Molecule: ribosomal RNA, 253 nt
Filed under: uncultured bacterium
Lineage: Bacteria
Description: partial 16S ribosomal RNA
Rfam family: Bacterial small subunit ribosomal RNA
Source: RNAcentral
UACGAAGGGGGCUAGCGUUGUUCGGAAUUACUGGGCGUAAAGCGCGCGCAGGCGGCUAUCCAAGUCAGUGGUGAAAGCCCGGAGCUCAACUCCGGAACUGCCAUUGAAACUGUUUAGCUUGAGUAUGAGAGAGGUGAGUGGAAUUCCCAGUGUAGAGGUGAAAUUCGUAGAUAUUGGGAAGAACACCGGUGGCGAAGGCGGCUCACUGGCUCAUUACUGACGCUCAGGCGCGACAGCGUGGGUAGCAAACAGG